This is a long non-coding RNA of Carassius gibelio (silver crucian carp), 480 nucleotides long. RefSeq lists it as uncharacterized. The transcript is spliced from 4 exons. Lineage: Eukaryota; Metazoa; Chordata; Actinopteri; Cypriniformes; Cyprinidae. The record is from RefSeq and is a predicted model, not a curated record.
AUAAUUCAAUUUUAUUUUCUCUCCCCUUUUUUAUUAUUUUUAUUUUUAGCUGAAAAGACGUAAAGGCAGUCAGCCCAGUGGUGUUUCUGGAGAGGGAUUCCUUCAGAAAUGGAGAAGACAGAAAGCUGCGGAGGCAGAUAUUUGCAGCAGUCUAAAAUAUCGAGCUCAACAGCUAUUUUAAGAGCCAACCCUCACAAACCUUCCUAAAAACUAAAAGAGCUAUUACUGAGUCUCAGCGAAUCUUGCCAUGAUCAGCUCUUCCCAGAAGAGAAGGAAGACCAAGGAAAUGAUUUGCUCAGGAUGAGGAAUGAAGAUGGCCAUCUUGUGCUCAAACAAACAGAAGUCCUCUGAUGAUCUCAUCAGCCAAAUGAGGGGUUUUGACCAAGUGAUGCUCUUGAAAGGAGAGAAAGAAGAGGAUGUGGUAAAUUCUCUUCAGAGAAAAAGCUUCUCAAAAGGUCUCAAAACAGCUUGAAGAAUGGU